RNAcentral lists this ribosomal RNA (502 nucleotides) under uncultured bacterium. Its description in RNAcentral is "bacterial SSU rRNA". It matches the Rfam family "Bacterial small subunit ribosomal RNA", at positions 28 to 526 of the family's 1533-position model. The record is from RNAcentral.
GAUGAACGCUAGCGGCAGGCUUAACACAUGCAAGUCGAGGGGCAGCGGGAGUAGCAAUACUUGCCGGCGACCGGCGCACGGGUGCGUAACGCGUAUGCAACCUACCUAUAACAGGGGGAUAAUCUGGAGAAAUCUGGUCUAAUACCCCAUAACCCUUAGUAAGGCAUCUUAUUGAGUUGAAAUUUUCGGAGGUUAUAGAUGGGCAUGCGUGACAUUAGCUAGUUGGUACGGUAACGGCGUACCAAGGCGACGAUGUCUAGGGGGACUGAGAGGUUUACCCCCCACACUGGUACUGAGACACGGACCAGACUCCUACGGGAGGCAGCAGUGAGGAAUAUUGGUCAAUGGGCGAAAGCCUGAACCAGCCAUGCCGCGUGCAGGAUGACGGCUCUAUGAGUUGUAAACUGCUUUUGUACGAGGGUAAAGUGGGUUACGUGUAACCUUUUGAAAGUAUCGUACGAAUAAGGAUCGGCUAACUCCGUGCCAGCAGCCGCCGUAAAAC